RNAcentral lists this ribosomal RNA (253 nucleotides) under uncultured bacterium. Its description in RNAcentral is "partial 16S ribosomal RNA". It matches the Rfam family "Bacterial small subunit ribosomal RNA", at positions 524 to 776 of the family's 1533-position model. The record is from RNAcentral.
UACGAAGGGUGCAAGCGUUGCUCGGAAUUAUUGGGCGUAAAGGGUAGGUAGGUGGUUACGUAUGUCUGAGGUGAAAGCCCCGCGCUUAACGUGGGAAGUGCCUUGGAAACGGCGUAACUAGAGUAUUGGAGAGGUUUGUAGAAUUCCCGGUGUAGCGGUGAAAUGCGUAGAGAUCGGGAGGAAUAUCAGAGGCGAAGGCGACAAACUGGACAAUUACUGACACUAAACUACGAAAGCGUGGGGAGCAAACAGG